RNAcentral lists this ribosomal RNA (460 nucleotides) under uncultured bacterium. RNAcentral's name for it is "partial 16S ribosomal RNA". It matches the Rfam family "Bacterial small subunit ribosomal RNA", at positions 338 to 795 of the family's 1533-position model. The record is from RNAcentral.
CCUACGGGAGGCAGCAGUGAGGAAUAUUGGUCAAUGGACGAGAGUCUGAACCAGCCAAGUAGCGUGAAGGAUGACUACCCUAUGGGUUGUAAACUUCUUUUAUAUGGGAAUAAAGUGUUCCACGUGUGGGAUUUUGUAUGUACCAUAUGAAUAAGGAUCGGCUAACUCCGUGCCAGCAGCCGCGGUAAUACGGAGGAUCCGAGCGUUAUCCGGAUUUAUUGGGUUUAAAGGGAGAGUAGGUGGAUUGUUAAGUCAGUUGUGAAAGUUUGGGGCUCAAACUUAAAAUUGCAGUUGAAACUGGCAGUCUUGAGUACAGGAGAGGUGGGCGGAAUUCGUGGUGUAGCGGUGAAAUGCGUAGAUAUCACGCAGAACACCGAUUGCGAAGGCAGCGCACUGGACUGCAACUGACACUGAGGCUCGAAAGUGUGGGUAUCAAACAGGAUUAGAUACCCUAGUAGUC